GUUCUCCUUUUUCCAGUGACAGUGCAGUACCUUUUUUUCUAUUAGUCAUCCUAUUUUCUGAGGUAAGAGCAAAGGGGAAAAAAAUGGGAAUAUGGGACUUCGUUUGUUCCGGUGUGCAGAUGCUUGGUCAGUGUGUGCCCGAUGAGGAAGGCAGGGAUACGAUGAUCAAGUUCCUUAAAAUUGCUUCCUUUUUUGCCGCUAAAGAAGCAGCCAACAACAUUUCUGGUGUUAGGGCAGUUAACGAAAUUUACAAUGCAACAGUUCGUGAAAUGAACAAUGCGUCUAAAAAGAAUUAAGGCACGCCGUCCUAAGAGUCUUCAUGAUGAAGAAAUUUAUGGGUGCUCGUUUUCUCGAUACUUUGUUGGUUCCUGAUCACGGACAACCGAAUAAAGUUAGUUGAUAUGUAUCUGGCUAUCUCAUAGAUGUUUGUCUUACUGGAUUGUUGGUUGUGUAUGCUUGUAAGUAGAUCUAAGUUACCGCUUUGUCUUGUUUCCGUUGAAAGUUGCAUGACGGAAGAUAACUUUAUAUGUAUCCAAUUUGAACUCCAGUAUCGCUUGUAAUUAUAAGAUCUAAGUUAUCUCUCUAGUUUGUUUCCUUUGAAGUUACCUCUUUUCUAGUUCCUGAUCAUCGACAACGGGAGAAAGUGUAAAUGAUUCUAGUAUGUUUCUGGAGAAAGUGGAGAGUAUUUUCGAGAGACCUCAAGAUCUUUUGGGCUUGAAGGCUUACAGUUCUUUCUUGGUAUAUUGUGCCGGCCGGAGAAAUGACAUAUGUGGACGAAAAGAAUACAAUGAAGAAAUGUAUCUGGGCGUCUCAUAUAAGUUAUUACUGGAAUGCUGGUAGUUAAAUCUAAGUUACCAUUUCGAUUUGUUUCGUUUGAAAUUUCGAUUUGUUUCGUUUGAAACUCGCACGACGGGAUAGAUGCCUAUGGGCCAGUAAUUUGAACUGCAGUAUUCUGAGUAUGAAUAUGCUUAUAAUUA
Molecule: long non-coding RNA, 977 nt
Organism: Lycium barbarum (goji berry)
Lineage: Eukaryota; Viridiplantae; Streptophyta; Magnoliopsida; Solanales; Solanaceae
Exons: 3
Source: RefSeq, a predicted model, not a curated record